CGUACCUUUUAAGCAUCUUUAUUUAUGUACAUAUAAAUAGAACAGGUCUGACUACUGGACACAUUUUAACCAACUGCUUUGCAUGCGGUGUCUGUUACAUCUGCUUCAGAUUUCGUGUGAGUGGACGUAUAAAAGGUCGUGGGGCUUACGGACACAGCUUCACUGCAGUUGACAGAAUCAUCUUAGCGAAUCCACUCGAGUCUUAUCUUGGAGAUAUACCUGAGCAAACAAUGGCAUUCGCCGGUGUUCUGAAUGAGGCUGACAUCACUGCAGCCCUUGCGGCCUGCAAA
This is a long non-coding RNA of Hypomesus transpacificus, 290 nucleotides long. RefSeq lists it as uncharacterized. The transcript has 2 exons. The record is from RefSeq and is a predicted model, not a curated record. NCBI's taxonomy places the organism in Eukaryota, Metazoa, Chordata, Actinopteri, Osmeriformes, Osmeridae.